This 238-nucleotide ribosomal RNA is filed under the name uncultured bacterium. Its description in RNAcentral is "partial 16S ribosomal RNA". It matches the Rfam family "Bacterial small subunit ribosomal RNA", at positions 96 to 334 of the family's 1533-position model. The record is from RNAcentral.
UGGCGGACGGGUGAGUAACGCGUGGGCAACCUGCCUUACACAGGGGGACAACAGUUAGAAAUAGCUGCUAAUACCGCAUAAGCGCACAGUACCGCAUGGUACAGUGUGAAAAACUCCGGUGGUGUAAGAUGGGCCCGCGUUGGAUUAGCUAGUUGGAGGGGUAACGGCCCACCAAGGCGACGAUCCAUAGCCGACCUGAGAGGGUGACCGGCCACAUUGGGACUGAGACACGGCCCAG